RNAcentral lists this ribosomal RNA (498 nucleotides) under uncultured bacterium. RNAcentral describes it as "partial 16S ribosomal RNA". It matches the Rfam family "Bacterial small subunit ribosomal RNA", at positions 28 to 507 of the family's 1533-position model. The record is from RNAcentral.
GACGAACGCUGGCGGCGUGCCUAAUACAUGCAAGUCGAACGAGAGCGACCGGUGCUUGCACUGGUCAAUCUAGUGGCGAACGGGUGAGUAACACGUGGGUAACCUGCCCAUCAGAGGGGGAUAACAUCCGGAAACGGAUGCUAAAACCGCAUAGGUCUUCGAGCCGCAUGGCUUGAAGAGGAAAAGAGGCGCAAGCUUCUGCUGAUGGAUGGACCCGCGGUGCAUUAGCUAGUUGGUGAGGUAACGGCUCACCAAGGCCGUGAUGCAUAGCCGACCUGAGAGGGUGAUCGGCCACAUUGGGACUGAGACACGGCCCAAACUCCUACGGGAGGCAGCAGUAGGGAAUCUUCCGCAAUGGACGCAAGUCUGACGGAGCAACGCCGCGUGAGUGAAGAAGGUUUUCGGAUCGGAAAACUCUGUUGUUAGGGAAGAACAAGUGCUAGGGUAACUGUUAGCGCCUUGACGGUAUCUAACCAGAAAGCCACGGCUAACUACGUG